RNAcentral lists this transfer-messenger RNA (209 nucleotides) under Klebsiella pneumoniae. RNAcentral's name for it is "partial transfer-messenger RNA". It matches the Rfam family "transfer-messenger RNA", at positions 1 to 202 of the family's 374-position model. Rfam says of the family: Bacterial tmRNA, also known as 10Sa RNA or SsrA, is named for its dual tRNA and mRNA-like properties. The record is from RNAcentral. Lineage: Bacteria; Pseudomonadati; Pseudomonadota; Gammaproteobacteria; Enterobacterales; Enterobacteriaceae.
GGGGCCGACCUGGUUUCGACGUGGGUGCGGAUCCGGAGUAGGGCAUGCCGAGCACCAGUCCGCUCGUAAAACCACUGGAAACAAAGUAACUGCAAACGACUCUACGUUCGCACUCGCCGCUUAAUUGCGGUUGAGCUUCUCAACGGCAGGCCGAUGGGCCGGGCUGAGUUCCAUUCGGGGCAAGGCUGAGAAGUCACUCACAUCGGCUG